GGUCUUAGACCUUCUAUUAAUGAUUGUAUCAACUUACAAACUCAGGUAGAUAAUUUUUUAAGCUCUUUUCAUAGAGCCUUACUGACUGAAUGUUAAGUGUCUGUGUAGUGACGUAGUUAAGUAACUUCCUUUUGAACUACCAGACUAGUUUAAAAAGAAAAAGUCCUUUUAGAGGUUUGUAGAGUACUCUUCAGCCAAUGUAGUAAUUUUUCCUUCAGAGGGAGAGAUGUCUGUUUCUGGGUUUUGUUUUUAGUUUCUUUGCUAAAAUGACUAAAAGGUUUUUAACUAGUUCGUAAGGUGUGUGUAGUCACCUGAGUUGGUGGGGGUUUCUUACUGUAUGUGACUCUUGUUUGUACUGUGCAUUACCUGUCAUGCGCUGCCUGGUUCAUGCACAAAUUCGGUGGAGUAGCGAGGGUGCAAUUUCAGUCAAACAGAUUGGCAGCCUUGAACAAAACUGGGGUCAUCCACAUAGAACCAAUGUUACUGCAUUUUCUUCUCCUCAUUUAACUGUGGAUGUAUGGCCUCAUCUUACAAAGCUUCGUUACCACUGUGAGCAGCGUUGCCUUGGUGCAGGUUUGCAUCAGGAUCCUGAAGGAUUUGGUCAGGCCAUAGAUGUUUGGCAUCUUGAGUCAGUUUUGUAGUUCCCUCUGCUGUUGCAGUUAUUUCUUUCCUACUGUAGCUGAUGCUGCUGCUCUCCUAAUGAUGAUAAAUGUCUCAGCAGGACAGGCAGCGUUCUGCUUUUAAUGAGCUGUUCAGAGCUUUUAUAUCUAAUUGAUAAUGAGACAGGCAGUGACAAGAACGUCCAUGCUCCAAAAAGGGCAUCAGUCACAUUUUUACUUGGACAAAAAGCGACAUGAUUUUCAGAUGUUGAGUACUGCAGAGGGGGAAGCAUGACAGGUUAUGUGCAAACUUUUACGUAGAAUAAGCAAGCAAAAAUGUUAGAACCCUUGUGUUAAUGGAGGCUUCUGAAUGUAUCUUUGUGGUCCAUAGGGAAGGCUGAAGGAUGUAGCAAGGAGAUGAUGUAUCAGCUACUGGCAGCCUUAAAACAAAGUCAGUGUCUCUCUGGACUUUAAAAUGUUCCUAUGCAGUUUAUUUUAUUUUUGUUUAAUCAAAUAAAUGUGAGGAGUUUUUUUCAUGGCAAA
RNAcentral lists this long non-coding RNA (1142 nucleotides) under Strigops habroptila (Kakapo). RNAcentral describes it as "lncRNA (ENSSHBG00005003775.1)". The record is from RNAcentral. Lineage: Eukaryota; Metazoa; Chordata; Aves; Psittaciformes; Psittacidae.